This 149-nucleotide unclassified non-coding RNA is filed under the name soil metagenome. RNAcentral's name for it is "partial internal transcribed spacer 1". The record is from RNAcentral.
UCGUAGAGCUUCGGCUCCUUCGAGGGAGAACCCUUGCCUUUUCGAGCACCUGUUUGUUUCCUCGGCAGGCCCGCCUGCCAAUGGGGACCUUUUUAAACCCUUGCGAUAACCUGAGCAAAAAUCGUCUGAGCAAAAAAAAAUCUAAAUCA